This 2123-nucleotide ribosomal RNA is filed under the name Escherichia coli. Its description in RNAcentral is "partial 23S ribosomal RNA". It matches the Rfam family "Bacterial large subunit ribosomal RNA", at positions 1 to 2140 of the family's 2925-position model. Lineage: Bacteria; Pseudomonadati; Pseudomonadota; Gammaproteobacteria; Enterobacterales; Enterobacteriaceae. The record is from RNAcentral.
GGGUUGUGAGGUUAAGCGACUAAGCGUACACGGUGGAUGCCCUGGCAGUCAGAGGCGAUGAAGGACGUGCUAAUCUGCGAUAAGCGUCGGUAAGGUGAUAUGAACCGUUAUAACCGGCGAUUUCCGAAUGGGGAAACCCAGUGUGAUUCGUCACACUAUCAUUAACUGAAUCCAUAGGUUAAUGAGGCGAACCGGGGGAACUGAAACAUCUAAGUACCCCGAGGAAAAGAAAUCAACCGAGAUUCCCCCAGUAGCGGCGAGCGAACGGGGAGCAGCCCAGAGCCUGAAUCAGUGUGUGUGUUAGUGGAAGCGUCUGGAAAGGCGCGCGAUACAGGGUGACAGCCCCGUACACAAAAAUGCACAUGCUGUGAGCUCGAUGAGUAGGGCGGGACACGUGGUAUCCUGUCUGAAUAUGGGGGGACCAUCCUCCAAGGCUAAAUACUCCUGACUGACCGAUAGUGAACCAGUACCGUGAGGGAAAGGCGAAAAGAACCCCGGCGAGGGGAGUGAAAAAGAACCUGAAACCGUGUACGUACAAGCAGUGGGAGCACGCUUAGGCGUGUGACUGCGUACCUUUUGUAUAAUGGGUCAGCGACUUAUAUUCUGUAGCAAGGUUAACCGAAUAGGGGAGCCGAAGGGAAACCGAGUCUUAACUGGGCGUUAAGUUGCAGGGUAUAGACCCGAAACCCGGUGAUCUAGCCAUGGGCAGGUUGAAGGUUGGGUAACACUAACUGGAGGACCGAACCGACUAAUGUUGAAAAAUUAGCGGAUGACUUGUGGCUGGGGGUGAAAGGCCAAUCAAACCGGGAGAUAGCUGGUUCUCCCCGAAAGCUAUUUAGGUAGCGCCUCGUGAAUUCAUCUCCGGGGGUAGAGCACUGUUUCGGCAAGGGGGUCAUCCCGACUUACCAACCCGAUGCAAACUGCGAAUACCGGAGAAUGUUAUCACGGGAGACACACGGCGGGUGCUAACGUCCGUCGUGAAGAGGGAAACAACCCAGACCGCCAGCUAAGGUCCCAAAGUCAUGGUUAAGUGGGAAACGAUGUGGGAAGGCCCAGACAGCCAGGAUGUUGGCUUAGAAGCAGCCAUCAUUUAAAGAAAGCGUAAUAGCUCACUGGUCGAGUCGGCCUGCGCGGAAGAUGUAACGGGGCUAAACCAUGCACCGAAGCUGCGGCAGCGACGCUKAUGCGUUGUUGGGUAGGGGAGCGUUCUGUAAGCCUGCGAAGGUGUGCUGUGAGGCAUGCUGGAGGUAUCAGAAGUGCGAAUGCUGACAUAAGUAACGAUAAAGCGGGUGAAAAGCCCGCUCGCCGGAAGACCAAGGGUUCCUGUCCAACGUUAAUCGGGGCAGGGUGAGUCGACCCCUAAGGCGAGGCCGAAAGGCGUAGUCGAUGGGAAACAGGUUAAUAUUCCUGUACUUGGUGUUACUGCGAAGGGGGGACGGAGAAGGCUAUGUUGGCCGGGCGACGGUUGUCCCGGUUUAAGCGUGUAGGCUGGUUUUCCAGGCAAAUCCGGAAAAUCAAGGCUGAGGCGUGAUGACGAGGCACUACGGUGCUGAAGCAACAAAUGCCCUGCUUCCAGGAAAAGCCUCUAAGCAUCAGGUAACAUCAAAUCGUACCCCAAACCGACACAGGUGGUCAGGUAGAGAAUACCAAGGCGCUUGAGAGAACUCGGGUGAAGGAACUAGGCAAAAUGGUGCCGUAACUUCGGGAGAAGGCACGCUGAUAUGUAGGUGAAGUCCCUCGCGGAUGGAGCUGAAAUCAGUCGAAGAUACCAGCUGGCUGCAACUGUUUAUUAAAAACACAGCACUGUGCAAACACGAAAGUGGACGUAUACGGUGUGACGCCUGCCCGGUGCCGGAAGGUUAAUUGAUGGGGUUAGCGCAAGCGAAGCUCUUGAUCGAAGCCCCGGUAAACGGCGGCCGUAACUAUAACGGUCCUAAGGUAGCGAAAUUCCUUGUCGGGUAAGUUCCGACCUGCACGAAUGGCGUAAUGAUGGCCAGGCUGUCUCCACCCGAGACUCAGUGAAAUUGAACUCGCUGUGAAGAUGCAGUGUACCCGCGGCAAGACGGAAAGACCCCGUGAACCUUUACUAUAGCUUGACACUGAACAUUGAGCCUUGAUGUGUA